Long non-coding RNA from Arachis stenosperma, 466 nucleotides. RefSeq lists it as uncharacterized. The transcript has 4 exons. NCBI's taxonomy places the organism in Eukaryota, Viridiplantae, Streptophyta, Magnoliopsida, Fabales, Fabaceae. The record is from RefSeq and is a predicted model, not a curated record.
UUCAUAGAGAAGGUGGUUUGAGAAAAUAAUGUCGCCGGUAUUCCUCCUCCAACAAUAUCGCCUGAGACAGAAUUUUCCCAGGUUCCUGGUAUUGGUCCUCAAAGACCAAAGCGUUCCGUGCCAACCAAAUCUGCCAUAGAAGCUUUUAGGUUAGGGUCGCGGAGAAUAGUGCUAGCUACUGGGAGCUGUUCCAAAUUUGCAGAAGACAACGGCAUGCAUCGGUGUCUUCGGCGCCGAUUGACAGCGGGGACAAAGGCUGCUAACUUGUGGUUUUCUACAUUUCUGAGUCUGCAUACCGGGAAUGGAGUGAAUUCACUGGAGGGUGAAAGAAUUGAAAUUUGUUGAAUUUGCUGAGCUGUGUCUAGUGGGAAGGCUUCCAUAAGAAGUUGGUGAUUCCAUUCUCCCUCGGCUGUGAUUAGUUGUCUAACCCAGGUAAGCGAUUCAUCUCUGCAUUCAUUAACUGCAA